Molecule: ribosomal RNA, 337 nt
Filed under: uncultured bacterium
Lineage: Bacteria
Description: bacterial SSU rRNA
Rfam family: Bacterial small subunit ribosomal RNA
Source: RNAcentral
CAUGGCUCAGAUUGAACGCUGGCGGCAGGCUUAACACAUGCAAGUCGAGGGGAAACGGCAUUAUGUGCUUGCACAUUUUGGACGUCGACCGGCGCACGGGUGAGUAUCGCGUAUCCAACCUGCCCUUUACUUGGGGAUACCCCGUUGAAAGACGGCCUAAUACCCGAUAUUGUUCAUUGAUGGCAUCAGAUAUGAAUAAAAGAUUUAUCGGUAAAGGAUGGGGAUGCGUCUGAUUAGCUUGUUGGUGAGGUAACGGCUCACCAAGGCGACGAUCAGUAGGGGUUCUGAGAGGAAGGUCCCCCACAUUGGAACUGAGACACGGUCCAAACUCCUACGG